UGCAGAAUGAGCCGGCGAGUUAUGGUAUUGUGCAAGGUUAAGUAGAAAAUACGGAGCCGAAGCGAAAGCGAGUCUUAAAAGGGCGAAAAAGUACAAUGCUGUAGACCCGAAACUGAGUGAUCUAGCCAUGAGCAGGUUGAAGUGUAGGUAACACUACAUGGAGGACCGAACCAGGGUACUAUGUAACGUGCUUGGAUGACUUGUGGUUAGCGGUGAAAUUCCAAUCGAACUCAGAGAUAGCUGGUUCUCCCCGAAAUAGGUUUAGGCCUAGCCUUGAAGAAUUUCCUCUGGAGGUAGAGCACUGAAUGUGGAAUGGCCGCGUCUAGCGGUACUGACUGCAAUCAACCUCCGAAUGCCAGAGUAGUUAGCUUCAGGAGUCAGUUUAUGGGUGAUAACGUCCAUAUGCGAGAGAAAAACAAUUCAGACCACCAGUUAAGGUCCCAAAAUAUAUGUUAAGUGGGAAAGGAUGUGGAGUUGCACGAACAGCUAGGAGGUUGGCUCAGAAGCAGCCAUCCUUUAAAGAGUGCGUAAUAGCUCACUAGUCGAGUGGCUCUGCGCCGAAAAUGUACCGGGGCUAAACAUAUUACCGAAACUGUGGAUUUAUGCGAUAGCAUAAGUGGUAGGGGAGCGUUCUAAGGGCGAUGAAGAUAGAGCGAGAGGACUAUUGGAGCGCUUAGAAGUGAGAAUGCCGGUGUGAGUAACGUAAGGUAGGUGAGAAUCCUACCCACUGAUUGACCAAGGAUUCCAGGGUCAAGUUCGUCUACCCUGGGUAAGUCAGGACCUAAGGCGAGGCUGAGAAGCGUAGUCGAUGGACAACAGGUUUAUAUUCCUGUACUAUUUAUAGGACUGAAGGAGUGACAAAGGAAGCUAGUAAGAGCCAUUUAAUGGAUUAUGGUCUAAGCACAAAGACUGAUACAUAGGAAAAUCCGUGAUAUCGAACGGUUGAAGUGUGAUGGCGAAGCAGUCUACGGACAGCGAAGUCUUAUGAGGCUAAACUUUUUAAAAAAGCUUCUAAAGAAAUGCUAUAAAUACCUGUACUAAGAACCAACGCAGGUGGUCAAGGAGAGAAUCCUAAGGUGAGCGAGAGAACUAUGGUUAAGGAACUCGGCACAAUGAUCCCGUAACUUCGGAAUAAGGGAAGGUCUUGAAAAAGACCCGCAGUGAAUAGGCCCAAGCGACUGUUUACCAAAAACACAGGUUUCUGCAAAAGCGUAAGCUGAAGUAUAGGAGCUGACGCCUGCCCAGUGCUGGAAGGUUAAGAUGAUUUGUAAGAUGGACGAAAGUCGAUAACAUCGAAGCAAUGAAUUGAAGCCCCAGUGAACGGCGGCGAUAACUAUAAUCGUCCAAAGGUAGCGAAAUUCCUUGUCAGGUAAGUUCUGACCCGCACGAAAGGCGUAACGAUUUGGGCACUGUCUCAACCAUAGACUCGGUGAAAUCUUAAUACCUGUGAAAAUGCAGGUUACCAGCGACAGGACGGAAAGACCCCAUGGAGCUUUACUGUAGCUUGAUAUUGAAAUCAGGUAGUUAAUGUAGAGGAUAGGUGGUAGACAAUGAAGUUAAGACGCUAGUCUUAAUGGAGUCGACCUUGGAAUACCACCCUUUGACUAUUUGAUUUCUAACUUGCACCCGUAAUCCGGGUGAAGGACAGUGUCUGGUGGGCAGUUUGACUGGGGCGGUCGCCUCCU
Molecule: ribosomal RNA, 1685 nt
Filed under: human gut metagenome
Description: bacterial LSU rRNA
Rfam family: Bacterial large subunit ribosomal RNA
Source: RNAcentral